AAGAAACUUUUCAGUCAAUUUGCAGGAAGCUGGGGAGAAUCUGGCGUUAUCACUCGGGAGAAAGAGGCGCCAAGUGACUUAAGAUCUCUCUCAAUAUCUUAACGUUUAUUGUCUUUGUUUUCCUUUUACUUAAAAAAAGAGACAAACCCAGGACCUCACAUUCCGGUUGCAUUAAUAGUAUUGGUUUCUGGGUUUUUUUUUCCGCUCUCGGUUGGGAGUUGAUGCCCGGCUCCUGUUUGAUUCGUUCCACCUUUGAGGAAGUGAAUGUCGCGUACGGGAAGAGGAGGGUCUGUCUCUAUGUGUUUGUCUGUGUGUGUCUCCCUCUGUUUCUGUGCCGCGCACUUCUUCUGUAAUGUUAUUCAGUAAUAUUACUCCAUACAAUUGUAUCUUCACCACCUCUACCCAACUCUCAUCCUGUCUGUAUAGAAGCUGUGCCUUAAAUACCAGCUAUAAACAAUGGUUCCUUCAUAAUAAGACCCCUUUUUUACAUAAAGAAGGCAGUUGAUCAAACAUAAGUUGCUCCAAACGAGAACAGAGAGAGAGAGAAAGUCUGUAUUUACUGUUGGGACACUUCCUGAACUUUUGUUCCGUGUUUUGCCUCCCUCCCUACCUCCCCCUCUCUGUCUGGUGCUCUGAACCCUGUAGCUAUGAUCAAUUUUGCUUUGGCAGGGAGGCUGCUCUCGCUCAUUUGCCGGACUGCACGCUUCCAAACGCCGCCUCCGGUGCUGGCCGGUUCCUGCUCAGCCUGUCAGCUCUCGCAUGGUCUCAGCGGCCAGGAGGCCUCUCGGCUCUUACCCGCGACAUGAAGGGAACUCGUCGGCGCAGCGCUGAACUCAAACUUCAGGGAGGGCUUCAGUCCGCAGUCCAAUCUGCCCCCAGGAGACGGCGAAUUACUGGCCCGGAAUCGCCCUGGAUUAAAUACGGGUGACUGAUCCAUCAAACUGAAAUGUUCCGACUGGGUUAAAAAAGAAAACGGCGACAGAAAGACCGGUUAAUACGAGGGACGCGACGAAUCAGUCUUCUCGAAAGAAGUAUGAAUGAAGAAGGCCAUUCAAUCUCUUCAUCAUGGUUUUAAUUGGAACAUGAUUGAUCUAUCCCUCAACUCCAUCAACGUGCUUUCAGCAGUGAGAUCAUCCUACAAACCACCUUUCCAACUUAGCCCAGUCUCAUGUUAUCAGUCUCAUGAAUCUGCCCUGCUUCAACUCGAAGAUCAUUGUAUCCUUCCCGAGAUGCUAUGCUGAGAACUGAAAGAAAUCACUCCAGGUAGAAUGCUGCACUGUGUGAAGUGCUGAUUCUCAGAUGAGGCAUUAAAGCAGCACCCUGAAUGUCCUGUCAGCUGGGCAUAAAACAUCAAAUCACUCUAUUGUGAGCAAGAGCAGAGAAGCUCCUCCCAGUGUCUUGACCAAUACUUACUCCUCAACCAACAUUAUUAAAACGGAUUGGAGACCUUGGAUCUGCUGUUGCUGAUUAAACCAGCAUUUGUCAUCCAUCACUAAUUGCCCUGGAGAAUGUUAUGGAGAACAUUCAUUUCUUGAAAUGCUUCAGACCAUGACGUGUAGGUACUCCCAUAGUACCGUUAGGAAGGGAGUUCUAGAAUUUUCACCCAGCUGUAGUGAAGGAUUGAUGGUAUCUUUCCAAGUCAGGAUUGUGUGCGGCUUGCAGGGGAUCUUGCUGUUGAUGGCAUUUCCACACAUCUGUUGCCCUUGUCCUUCAAAGCAAUAGAGGUUGCAGAUUUGGAAGGUGCUGUCGAAGGAGCUACUGUAUGGUAACUUGAUGAGGUACUGUAGUACAUCUUGGAAGUGGUACACAUUGCUGCCACUUUGUGUCAAUGUGAAGGAUUGAAUGUUUAAAUAAGUGGAUGGAAUGCUGAUCAAGCUGGUUGCCUUGUACUGGAUCAUGUAAAGCUUCAUGAACGUUGUUGGAGGUGGUCUAAUCCAGGCAAAUGGAGAGUACUCCAGAAGGUGGUAGAGGCUGAGUCUUUAAAUAUAUUCAAAGCUGAGUUGGGGAGAUUUUUGAUGGGCAAGGGAGUGAAGGUUAAUGGCCUGCAAGUGGGAUAGUGGAGAUAAGACCAUACAAAGAUUAAUCUUGUUUUUAUCAAAUGGUGGAGCAGGAUUGAAGGGCCAAGUGGCCUAUUCCUGUCCUAUGUUCCCAUGAACGUUACAUUCCACUUGUCAGCCCAGAUCUGGAUGUUGUCCAGGUAUUGCUACAUACGGACACAAACUGCUUCAGUGUCAGUAUGAAUCCUUAUAUGUUUAAAUGUAUAAAUGUCCUUCUUUCUUGACCAAAGAGGCUACAUUUCCAGGCCUCAGGCUUCACGAUCAAAAGAAGAUUAAUUGAUCACCUCUGAUCUCACAUACAAAGCAAUGGAGAUGGUUUCCGUAUACACAUUAAAAUGCUGAAGAAGUGAGAGGAGACAUUGAUCAGUGACAUAUUGAUUCUGCACAAAUUAUUAGAGUGAAUAGCAAGCCAAGAUAUUUGUGCAAUAGCAAAAUAUUUUGAUGGAUAUGAACUUCUAAGAGCAAGACUCCUCCUACUUGAGCUCCAUAAUAUUACCUGACUCUGCCCCUGUCUCAACUUAUCUGUUUCUGAAACCUUAUCUGUGACUUUGUUACCUCAAGCCUUGACCUCUCUGACGCUUUUCUGGCUAGAUUCUUAGUGUACAUCAUUCCACAAACUCAAUUUCAUCCAAAUCAAUAUUGUCUGUAUCUUAUCAUGCACCAACUCACUUUCACUUAUUACCCGUGAGCAUCCAUGAUACACUUUGGUUCCAGGACUUGUAUCAGCUCAACUUUAAAAUCCUCAGCAUUCUUUACAACUUUCUAUAUGGCCUCGCACCCCCUCUAUUUCUUAAGGGAACCUUCAGCCCUACAAUGCUCCAUAGCUCUUUUCCAACUUGGACAGUUAAUUCUCUCCCGUGGACAGCUAUACUGGAAACUACCUGCUCUGAAGUAUCAUUCCAAAAAAGUUUCUGCAUCUCUACCUCUGUUUCUUUCAUAAAAGUGCCCCUUAAAACCUCUGACUUUGAAUAACUUUUUUUGUAAACUGCCCUAAUAUCCCUUUAAGUGGUUUAGUGUCAAAUUUUGUCUGGUAAUGCACUUGUAAGGUUUUCAUGGGACAUUUCUGCCCUACUAAGUUGUCCAUUUGCUGUGUUGAUGGGAUUGAAAAUACUUGAGCUUUUCUUUCUGCUGCCUUGCAGUUUGAUUUUAUUCUCCAACCUACAUGGCACCAAGACCUGCAUGUUAGAACGAUGAUCUCAUCUUGUUAGUCCAAGAAACAGAAUGGAGGCAAGCAGGUUUGUCCAAAAUUGUGAAACAAAUUGCCAUUUAACAUUCUGUUUUAAAUAAAGCACUGAGCCCCUC
Rhincodon typus (whale shark) is the source of this 3359-nucleotide long non-coding RNA. RefSeq lists it as uncharacterized. The transcript has 5 exons. Lineage: Eukaryota; Metazoa; Chordata; Chondrichthyes; Orectolobiformes; Rhincodontidae. The record is from RefSeq and is a predicted model, not a curated record.